RNAcentral lists this ribosomal RNA (468 nucleotides) under uncultured bacterium. RNAcentral describes it as "partial 16S ribosomal RNA". It matches the Rfam family "Bacterial small subunit ribosomal RNA", at positions 28 to 507 of the family's 1533-position model. The record is from RNAcentral.
GACGAACGCUGGCGGCGUGCUUAACACAUGCAAGUCGAACGGAAAGGCCCUGCUUUUGUGGGGUGCUCGAGUGGCGAACGGGUGAGUAACACGUGAGUAACCUGCCCUUGACUUUGGGAUAACUUCAGGAAACUGGGGCUAAUACCGGAUAGGAGCUCCUGCUGCAUGGUGGGGGUUGGAAAGUUUCGGCGGUUGGGGAUGGACUCGCGGCUUAUCAGCUUGUUGGUGGGGUAGUGGCUUACCAAGGCUUUGACGGGUAGCCGGCCUGGGAGGGUGACCGGCCACAUUGGGACUGAGAUACGGACCAGACUCCUACGGGAGGCAGCAGUGGGGAAUAUUGCACAAUGGGCGGAAGCCUGAUGCAGCGACGCCGCGUGCGGAAUGACGGCCUUCGGGUUGUGAACCGCUUUCGCCUGUGACGAAGCGUGAGUGACGGUAAUGGGUAAAGAAGCACCGGCUAACUACGUG